Truncatella angustata is the source of this 99-nucleotide non-coding RNA. NCBI's taxonomy places the organism in Eukaryota, Fungi, Ascomycota, Sordariomycetes, Amphisphaeriales, Sporocadaceae. The record is from the annotation of a RefSeq genome assembly.
CCCUUGAUAGCUCAGUUGGCAGAGCGAUGGACUGUAAUUGUUUACUUCUGGCAUCUCCAGACUAUCCACAGGUCACCGGUUCAAAUCCGGUUCGAGGGA